CCCUGAUGCAGACCGUCGGUAUACACUUUAGACUGUCCCCCUGGCUGGCAGAAGACCCUGGUUCGUAUCAGAAAUGGUUAGAAAAAUCAAACCAAAUUGUUCUCCACAGAUUUCUAAUUCCAUUUUCAGUGUGAGACCAGGUGACGUGUACAGAGGCCAAAGGCAGUGUGAGACCAGGUGACGUGGACAGAGGCCAAAGGCAGUGUGAGACCAGGUGACGUGGACAGAGGCCAAAGGCAGUGAGAGACCAGGUGACGUGGACAGUACAUCAUAGAGGCCAAAGGCAGUGUGAGACCAGGUGACGUGGACAGAGGCCAAAGGCAGUGAGAGACCAGGUGACGUGGACAGUACAUCAUAGAGGCCAAAGGUAGUGUGAGACCAGGUGACGUGGACAGAGGCCAAAGGCAGUGUGAGACCAGGUGACGUAGACAGAGGCCAAAGGCAGUGAGAGACCAGGUGACAUGGACAGUACAUCAUAAAGGCCAAAGGCAGUGAGAGACCAGGUGACGUGGACAGAGGCCAAAGGUAGUGUGAGACCAGGUGACGUGGACAGAGGCCAAAGGCAGUGAGAGACCAGGUGACGUGGACAGAGGCCAAAGGCAGUGAGAGACCAGGUGACGUGGACAGAGGCCAAAGGCAGUGAGAGACCAGGUGACGUGGACAGAGGCCAAAGGCAGUGUGAGACCAGGUGACGUGGACAGAGGCCAAAGGCAGUGAGAGACCAGGUGACGUGGACAGUACAUCAUAAAGGCCAAAGGCAGUGAGAGACCAGGUGACGUGGACAGAGGCCAAAGGCAGUGUGAGACCAGGUGACGUGGACAGAGGCCAAAGGCAGUGAGAGACCAGGUGACGUGGACAGUACAUCAUAGAGGCCAAAGGUAGUGUGAGACCAGGUGACGUGGACAGAGGCCAAAGGCAGUGUGAGACCAGGUGACGUGGACAGUACAUCAUAGAGGCCAAAGGUAGUGUGAGACCAGGUGACGUGGACAGAGGCCAAAGGCAGUGUGAGACCAGGUGACA
Molecule: long non-coding RNA, 1020 nt
Organism: Oncorhynchus keta (chum salmon)
Lineage: Eukaryota; Metazoa; Chordata; Actinopteri; Salmoniformes; Salmonidae
Exons: 5
Source: RefSeq, a predicted model, not a curated record